This is a long non-coding RNA of Anguilla rostrata (American eel), 2130 nucleotides long. RefSeq lists it as uncharacterized. The transcript has 2 exons. NCBI's taxonomy places the organism in Eukaryota, Metazoa, Chordata, Actinopteri, Anguilliformes, Anguillidae. The record is from RefSeq and is a predicted model, not a curated record.
CACGGUGUAGAUGCAGUCAUGCAUCUGUGUGCGGUUGCCUAGAGAACUUAAUCCAGAUAAAAAUAGCGAAUGGCAGUUAAUGCCUGAGGCCUUUCAUAAUCACUUAAUUUACUAUUUAUGUUUGGGACGGAGACCUUAAAGUUGCAGUAAGCAGUUUUCUCAACGAACUCCUAACUCCUUGGCAAGCAAGAUUGCAGAAUGACGGACUGGCAUGGCGUUAGCUACGCUAAAAAUGGUCGGCUCCAAGGGUCCUGGUAGUUCAACAGAAAUGUUUUUUGUUGUUGCAGAGCUUACCGAUAACACACACACAUUUCCAUUUAGUCUCAGAGUUCGGUAGCUGUUGGCUAAUGGAGUGAUGGUUUCGCUAAAUUUACAAUUUGCUUGCGAAUCUAAAGUUAGCUGACGUUCACGAUUGCUAACGUUAGCAAAAUAUUUUUUAUACAUGUAAAGUGUUGAACAAGGCUGCCCUCUAUCCCAGGGGUUGACUCCUCACAAUGGUGACGGAACCGGAAAUAAGGGGUUGCUGACUGUGCAGGGGACACCAACUGUGCACUCACGCCAGUUCUAGCUAAUGUGAUCUGUCGACCAGGUAACUUUAGUUGGGUAGUUUGCCUAGGCUAACUUAACCUACCGCACAGGUAACAUUGCAAGCAUUUAAUUCUUCCAAUAACUAGCUGCCAAAUGCAGUAACGUUUUCAAUAAUAACUACCUAGCUACUUCGGUGGCUAAGUUCGUUGUAGGUAAUUGGCUGGAAAGCAGGAAGCCCGGGUAAAUUAGUGUUGAAAUUUAGAUUCUGUCCAGCAGAAACAAUUCGAGCUUCAUGCCCAUCAACUCCACCCACCCCUGAAGCUCUUGCCACCUACUGAAUUAUAUGUUUAUUCUAGUUUAAAAUUAAGGUCUAUAUCCAUUUUUUUUCCUUUCUGUCAUGGCGUAGCGCCCGAGCAGGCCGUUGUUUGCCAUUGUUGAUACUCUUUUCUUACUCAGCGCAUCUAGCUAUGUGUACUAUGAUGUGAACGUGCAAGGUCAAUCUCGUUGAUUGGUUUACGGUGUGAACUGGCCUGUCUCAUUGAUUGGGUUAUGUUGUAGACCACUUUGUUUUGUCAACAAAAUUCCGGACUGAAUCCCUGGUUAUUGUAGGGGGAACAGAAAUGUGCCUACAAAUAUGAUCUUCACAGAAUUUGAAGGUUUAAACAGAGUACAGUGCUUUGCGUAGUUUAGUGGCCACUUUAGUGACCACUUUAGUGACUUCAGCUGCCCUAAUGGCACCAGAGGCACAACUUUAAAUUAGUUCAUGCUGAUAGUGCUGAUAGGAUUGCCUUCCUCCUUGCAUGUCUCUGGAGUGGAGUAGCCUUGCUGAAAAUAGCUUUCAAUAUGGACACAAGCUCAAAUGUUAUAAAGAUAUGGAGCCCACGAUCAGUCCGUACCGCUUGGGUUUCUGACUGGGUUCUUAAGAUAAAAUAGGGACACAGGAUCAAGCAAGGCUAAAUUAUAAAAAAAUGGUUCAAUCUCCCUUUAACUCCCGUUUUGUUAAAAACAUGGCUACCUGGGUUGAGGUGCCCUGUGAAUCCUCCUUGUUCAUACAGCUUAGGUUUGUUACCUGGUAACUGUGUCUAUUUGGUAACUGUAAAAUGCUGCAGGUGACUGUACUGGCUGAAGAUAUAGUGUCGAACUGGAAAAAUAUGGUGUGAUUGUGCAUUUACGGUGUGAUUGUGUCAUAGGAGGAAGAGGGGAGACUAUAGGCUCACUAGUAGGUCUUUGUGGUGAACACCGUUUAGACACUGAAUUAGAAAUGGAUUUGCCUAAAGGUGUGCAUGUGUGUACCAAAUCAACAGAACAAUCACAAGGGCUGUUGGUAACUGGUUUCCUCUCAAGAUCAUCUGGUCAUCAGUUAAAAAACAGAAGAGCAGUAUUUUUUAUCAAGAAACAGUGCAAUGAACCCUUUCCAAGAAAUGUGCAUGAAUUUUGCUAAUCAACAUAUAGCUCUAUACUGAUAUUUACCUGCCAAAGGAAAGUUGAAAACCAGAAAGGCAGUUGGCCACAUUACCCAUACAGUACCCCUUGAAGACACAGGUUGUAAUGGUAAUGGGUGCAAUUUCAAUAUUUACAUCUUGGCACAUAAAGCUGUUAAGA